RNAcentral lists this ribosomal RNA (276 nucleotides) under uncultured prokaryote. RNAcentral describes it as "partial 16S ribosomal RNA". It matches the Rfam family "Bacterial small subunit ribosomal RNA", at positions 524 to 800 of the family's 1533-position model. The record is from RNAcentral.
CACGGGGGUUGCGAGCGUUGUCCGGAAUUACUGGGCGUAAAGGGUGCGUAGGUGGUUUCUUAAGUCAGAGGUGAAAGGCUACGGCUCAACCGUAGUAAGCCUUUGAAACUGAGAAACUUGAGUGCAGGAGAGGAGAGUAGAAUUCCUAGUGUAGCGGUGAAAUGCGUAGAUAUUAGGAGGAAUACCAGUUGCGAAGGCGGCUCUCUGGACUGUAACUGACACUGAGGCACGAAAGCGUGGGGAGCAAACAGGAUUAGAUACCCUGGUAGUCCCUGA